This 368-nucleotide ribosomal RNA is filed under the name uncultured organism. RNAcentral describes it as "bacterial SSU rRNA". It matches the Rfam family "Bacterial small subunit ribosomal RNA", at positions 526 to 896 of the family's 1533-position model. The record is from RNAcentral.
CGUAGGUGGCGAGCGUUGUCCGGAUUUAUUGGGUUUAAAGGGUGCGUAGGCGGCCCUAUAAGUCAGUGGUGAAAUAUCGCAGCUUAACUGUGAGGGUGCCAUUGAUACUGUAGGGCUUGAGUGAAUUUGAGGUAGGCGGAAUUGACGGUGUAGCGGUGAAAUGCUUAGAUAUCGUCAAGAACACCGAUAGUGAAGACAGCUUACCAAGCUUCAACUGACGCUGAGGCACGAAAGUGUGGGGAUCAAACAGGAUUAGAUACCCUGGCAGUCCACACUGUAAACGUUGAUUACUCGCUGUUGGCGAUACACAGCCAGCGGCUAAGCGCAAGCGAUAAGUAAUCCACCUGGGGAGUACGCCGGCAACGGUG